GAACGCGAGAGGUCGUCGGUUCGAGUCACGCAUCGUCCAUAAAAUUUUGUUUUCAGUUUAACUUCAGUAAGUUGUCUGCGAUUUGGUCUUUACUUCCAUAAUCAGACAUAACUACGUAACUAUGUUAAUUUGAGGGCAAUUGGAGCUGCGUGAUGCUCACAGGUCGUGACUGGCGGUCUGGUGUGACAAUUCCGCGCGCGGUUCUUGUAUGGUUUGCAGCUCGGAUAUAAAUGUGUGACAGAGAAUGUGCAGGUGGAGUCGUGACUGUGAGCUGGACUUUCCCGAUCAUGGCAGCCGCGCUGUCUCCAGGAGUCGUGUUGUUCGCUCUGGUGCUGUGCCCGACCCCUAGCAUACCCGUUUACCACGAGCCUGAGCAUCCGCUGUCGUCACGGCUCAGCCCCUGGCCCCGACUGCUGGGGCCGCUGCGAGACGAAGACCAGCCCCGUAUACCUCUACCCUCGCCGCAGGAGGUGGAGGCCAUCAGGCGGGUGGCACAGGUGC
Long non-coding RNA from Leptidea sinapis, 501 nucleotides. RefSeq lists it as uncharacterized. The transcript has 3 exons. The record is from RefSeq and is a predicted model, not a curated record. Lineage: Eukaryota; Metazoa; Arthropoda; Insecta; Lepidoptera; Pieridae.